AGAGUUUGAUCCUGGCUCAGAACGAACGCUGGCGGCGCGCCUAAUACAUGCAAGUCGAGCGAGAAGGUGUAGCAAUACACUUGUAAAGCGGCGAACGGGUGAGGAAUGCAUGGGUAACCUACCCUCGAGUGGGGAAUAACUAGCCGAAAGGUUAGCUAAUACCGCAUACGUUUCCGGAACUUCGGUUACGGAAAGAAAGCAAUACCGUGGGUAUUGCGCUCAUGGAUGGGCUCAUGUCCUAUCAGCUUGUUGGUGAGGUAACGGCUCACCAAGGCUUCGACGGGUAGCUGGUCUGAGAGGACGAUCAGCCACACUGGCACUGCGACACGGGCCAGACUCCUACGGGAGGCAGCAGUAAGGAAUAUUGCGCAAUGGACGAAAGUCUGACGCAGCGACGCCGCGUGGGGGAUGAAGGUCUUCGGAUUGUAAACCCCUUUCGGGAGGGAAGAUGGAGUGGGUAACCACUUGGACGGUACCUCCAGAAGCAGCCACGGCUAACUUCGUGCCAGCAGCCGCGGUAAUACGAAGGUGGCAAGCGUUGUUCGGAUUCACUGGGCGUACAGGGAGCGUAGGCGGUUGGGUAAGCCCUCCGUGAAAUCUCCGGGCCUAACCCGGAAAGUGCAGAGGGGACUGCUCAGCUAGAGGAUGGGAGAGGAGCGCGGAAUUCCCGGUGUAGCGGUGAAAUGCGUAGAGAUCGGGAGGAAGGCCGGUGGCGAAAGGCGGCGCUCUGGAACAUUUCUGACGCUGAGGCUCGAAAGCGUGGGGAGCAACAGGAUUAGAUACCCUGGUAGUCCACGCCCUUAAACUAUGGAUACUAAGUGUCGGGCGGUUUACCGCCGGUGCCGCAGCUAACGCAAUAAGUAUCCCGCCUGGGAAGUACGGCCGCAAGGUUGAAACUCAAAGGAAUUGACGG
RNAcentral lists this ribosomal RNA (913 nucleotides) under uncultured bacterium. RNAcentral's name for it is "bacterial SSU rRNA". It matches the Rfam family "Bacterial small subunit ribosomal RNA", at positions 8 to 916 of the family's 1533-position model. The record is from RNAcentral.